CACGGGAUUGCUUAGUAGCGGCGAGUGAAGCGGCAGAGCUCAAAUUUGAAAUCUAGUACCUUUGGUGCUCGAGUUGUAAUUUGUAGAGUAGUGCCUUGGGGCCGUUCCUUGCCUAUGUUCCUUGGAACAGGACGUCAUGGAGGGUGAGAACCCCGUGUGGCGAGGGGUGCGGUUCUGUGUAAGGCCUGCUCGAAGAGUCGAGUUGUUUGGGAAUGCAGCUCUAAGUGGGUGGUAAAUUCCAUCUAAAGCUAAAUACAGGCGAGAGACCGAUAGCGAACAAGUACAGUGAUGGAAAGAUGAAAAGAACUUUGAAAAGAGAGUGAAAAAGUACGUGAAAUUGUUGAAAGGGAAGGGCAUUUGAUCAGACAUGGUGUUUUGCGCCCCCUGCUCCUUGUGGGUGGGGGAAUCUCGCAGCUCACUGGGCCAGCAUCAGUUUUGGCGGCUGGAUAAAUCCGGAGGAAUGUGGCUUCUCUCGGGAAGUGUUAUAGCCUGCGGGAAUACGGCCAGCCGGGACUGAGGAACGCGACGCAAGUCAAGGAUGCUGGCAUAAUGGUUAUAUGCCGCCCGUCUUGAAACACG
Molecule: ribosomal RNA, 579 nt
Filed under: fungal yeast sp. DY44
Lineage: Eukaryota; Fungi
Description: eukaryotic LSU rRNA
Rfam family: Eukaryotic large subunit ribosomal RNA
Source: RNAcentral